GACGAACGCUGGCGGCGUGCCUAAUACAUGCAAGUAGAACGCAGUUGCGAACGGGUGAGUAACGCGUAGGUAACUGCCUCAUAGCUGGGGAUAACUAUUGGAAACGAUAGCUAAUACCGCAUACUGUGAGAUGGACCUGCGUUGUAUUAGCUAGUUGGUGAGGUAAAGGCUCACCAAGGCGACGAUACAUAGCCGACCUGAGAGGGUGAGCGGCCACACUGGGAGUGAGACACGGCACAGACUCCUGCGGCAACCAGCAGUAGGGGAUGUUCUGCAAUGGACGGAAGUCUGACCGAGCAACGCCGCGUGAGCGAAGAAGGUUUUCGGGUCGUAAAGGUCUGUUGUUAGAGACGCGGUAGCUAAACAGAAAGCGCCGGCUAACUAAGUGCCAGCAGCCGCGGUAAUAC
RNAcentral lists this ribosomal RNA (407 nucleotides) under uncultured bacterium. Its description in RNAcentral is "partial 16S ribosomal RNA". It matches the Rfam family "Bacterial small subunit ribosomal RNA", at positions 28 to 526 of the family's 1533-position model. The record is from RNAcentral.